This 228-nucleotide ribosomal RNA is filed under the name uncultured bacterium. Its description in RNAcentral is "partial 16S ribosomal RNA". It matches the Rfam family "Bacterial small subunit ribosomal RNA", at positions 15 to 236 of the family's 1533-position model. The record is from RNAcentral.
GAUCAUGGCUCAGGAUGAACGCUAGCUACAGGCUUAACACAUGCAAGUCGAGGGGCAGCAUGUUGGUUGCUUGCAACCAAUGAUGGCGACCGGCGCACGGGUGAGUAACGCAUAUCCAACCUACCCUUGUCCAUCGGAUAACCCUUCGAAAGGCGGCCUAACACGAUAUGCGGUUCACAGCAGGCAUCUAACGUGAACGAAAUGUAAAGGAGAAGGAUGGGGAUGCGU